Long non-coding RNA from Oncorhynchus keta (chum salmon), 1007 nucleotides. RefSeq lists it as uncharacterized. The record is from RefSeq and is a predicted model, not a curated record. The transcript has 2 exons. Lineage: Eukaryota; Metazoa; Chordata; Actinopteri; Salmoniformes; Salmonidae.
GAAGGUGAAAUUAGGCAUUAGAGGUCCAUCAUCAUCAUCAUCAUCAUCAUCCGACAACUAUUGUGCCAAAUCAAUAAAUGCAAUGAUUUCUCUACCAAUGUGUCUUAUCUACAGAUGUUUUAAAUCAUGUCUCAAGGUGUCUAUGUGAUUUUAUUUUUGAACCAUUCGUGUUUUUAUGACGUGCAAUUUGUUAAAUGUUUUAUCGAUGCAACACAAUUAACGUGUAUUGAUACCAAAUAUAUUGAUGAUUUGGUAAUCUGUAAAGACAGAUAAUAACUACUUAUGCAGGUGAGUCCCUAGGUGGGUCCCAAACGGUACCCUGUCCCCUAAACGUGUAUUGAUGCCUACGGUUGAACAGGGCCCCUAGGACUCUGGACACAAGUAGUUCCCUACUGUUGAACAGGGCCCCUAGGACUCUGGACACAGUUCCCUACUGUUGAACAGGGCCCCUAGGACUCUGGACACAAGUAGUUCCCUACUGUUGAACAGGGCCCCUAGGACUCUGGAUACAAGUCUUUCCCUACUGUUGAACAGGGCCCCUAGGACUCUGGACACAAGUAGUUCCCUACUGUUGAACAGGGCCCCUAGGACUCUGGAUACAAGUAGUUCCCUACUGUUGAACAGGGCCCCUAGGACUCUGGACACAAGUAGUUCCCUACUGUUGAACAGGGCCCCUAGGACUCUGGACACAAGAAGUUCACUAUAAAGGGACUAGGGUGCUGUUUUGGACACAGUCCUAGACAUGUUUCUAUUAACGUUUUGUACACUGUAUAAACACUCCUACACUAACACAUGAUCGACGGCACAGGAGGCUGGUGAGGGGGGAGGACGGUGCAUAAUAAUGUCUGGAAUGGAAUCAGCCACAUGGAAACCACGUGUUUGCUACCAAUCCCUUAAUUCCGUUCCUGCCAUAACUAUGAGCCUAUCCUCCCCACCAGCCACCUGUGAUGAACAGUAUAACAAUGAUAAUUAUGCAAAAAAGGAAGAAUAAAAUUUAAUACCAACUU